GGUGCCUCCCCCCACUGCCACAAGAGCGAUGAGACACAGCUCUUCCUUCCGUGCCACGCGGGUAAUUGGGAAACCAGAAUUCAUAGUGUGGAGGGAAGGAGGGUCUGGCCUUGGAUCACUGACCAGUGGGGCUCCACUACAGAAGAGCUUCCAUGAAGCCGGUACGGAUUCAUGCAGAAGGACAUCACAGCAAGGCGAAUGCUACAUUUCGAGAGGGUGUUAUCCAGGGCCUGGAUCUCACAGUGCCAACCCAAACCUCGAGCUCUCUGAAGACUGGGACCUUGGCUCACAUGGGCAGCCUAUCAAUCACCGCGCAGCCCUUUCUCCUGCACAGCCCGGCCAAUCACCGGUGAUUGUGUUUGAAACAAAAUGCAACGUGCCCGAGCGUAAAUGAGUUGAACGCUUGCACACAUAUUUGAACACGACGUUGUUUCGGUGCUUUUGGUCGACUGUAUUGUCC
Molecule: long non-coding RNA, 460 nt
Organism: Gasterosteus aculeatus aculeatus (three-spined stickleback)
Lineage: Eukaryota; Metazoa; Chordata; Actinopteri; Perciformes; Gasterosteidae
Source: Ensembl